RNAcentral lists this ribosomal RNA (402 nucleotides) under uncultured Katablepharidophyta. RNAcentral's name for it is "partial small subunit ribosomal RNA". It matches the Rfam family "Eukaryotic small subunit ribosomal RNA", at positions 30 to 432 of the family's 1831-position model. The record is from RNAcentral. Lineage: Eukaryota; Cryptophyceae; Kathablepharidacea.
GCUUGUCUCAAAGAUUAAGCCAUGCAUGUCUAAGUAUAACUCUUUUACUUUGAAAACUGCGAACGGCUCAUUAUAUCAGUUAUAGUUUCUUUGAUAGUCCCUUACUACUUGGAUACCCGUAGUAAUUCUAGAGCUAAUACAUGCAUCAAUACCCAACUGUUCGCGGAAGGGUAGUAUUUAUUAGGUAUAGACCAACCCUCCUCGGAGGUGCUUUGGUGAUUCAUAAUAACUUUGCGAAUCGCAUGGCCUUGUGCCGGCGAUGAAUCAUUCAAAUUUCUGCCCUAUCAACUUUCGAUGGUAAGGUAUUGGCUUACCAUGGUUGCAACGGGUAACGGAGAAUUAGGGUUCGAUUCCGGAGAGGGCGCCUGAGAAAUGGCGACCACAUCCAAGGAAGGCAGCAGG